RNAcentral lists this ribosomal RNA (465 nucleotides) under uncultured bacterium. RNAcentral describes it as "partial 16S ribosomal RNA". It matches the Rfam family "Bacterial small subunit ribosomal RNA", at positions 28 to 507 of the family's 1533-position model. The record is from RNAcentral.
GACGAACGCUGGCGGCGUGCUUAACACAUGCAAGUCGAACGGAAAGGCCCCUUCGGGGGUACUCGAGUGGCGAACGGGUGAGUAACACGUGAGUAACCUGCCCUUGACUUCGGGAUAACUUCAGGAAACUGGGACUAAUACCGGAUAGGAAUCCUUGCUGCAUGGUGGGGGUUGGAAAGCUUCGGCGGUUUUGGAUGGACUCGCGGCUUAUCAGCUUGUUGGUGGGGUAGUGGCUUACCAAGGCUUUGACGGGUAGCCGGCCUGAGAGGGCGACCGGCCACAUUGGGACUGAGAUACGGCCCAGACUCCUACGGGAGGCAGCAGUGGGGAAUAUUGCACAAUGGGCGGAAGCCUGAUGCAGCAACGCCGCGUGCGGGAUGACGGCCUUCGGGUUGUAAACCGCUUUCAGCAGGGGCGAAGCUUGUGGUGACGGUACCUGCAGAAGAAGCACCGGCUAACUACGUG